UUUGUACUCCCACCGUCCCAAAAUUAUCGUCUUAAAUUUGUCUAAAUACGGAUGUAUCUACUUACAUUUUAGUGUUAGAUACAUCUGUAUCUAAACAAAUGUAAGACAAGAAUUUUGGGACGGAGGGAAUACUAC
Non-coding RNA from Triticum aestivum (bread wheat), 135 nucleotides. Lineage: Eukaryota; Viridiplantae; Streptophyta; Magnoliopsida; Poales; Poaceae. The record is from Rfam.